UUUAUCUUGCCAAGGAGGUACAACUUUAUCUGAGAUGUUUGUCUCUGAUUCUGUAAUUUCUUUCUAGUAUCUUUUUAAUAAAGUUUCUGAAUUCCUAUAAAAAAAUGGUAAAUCUAUUUUUGAGGUGGAUUUUUGGACUUAAUUUUUAAGGACAUAUAAUCUCUGAUAUGGGAAACAUGAAUAUGAAAAAAAAAGUAAAUUUUUAAAACUAAAAGUAACAAUUCUAGUAAGAAAACAUUCGACCAUUAGUUUCCAUUGUUUUCAAAUGCAACACCUACUUGCAUCUAUCUUUAAAAUGGAUGCUUUACACGUUUUGGACAGCAUAUGUAGUCAUGCAGUUCAGCCUGCAUGAAACAAUUUUCAUUUCUUAAAUCAUCAAUCCAAACUGAAUUUGGUGGUAUUGUUAACUGCUUAUAUAAAUUGUUUGAAAACUACCUUGUGUUUUUAUGAUUUAUUUGGGUCAUUUUCUAGAGCACGUGGCGUGUGACCGCAUGGAUGUCAAGCUUUACGAGUUUGUGUCGGUGAGGGACCGCUGUUGAGGCAUGACGCGGAACUAUCAAACAGAAGGUGGACAUGGGAAACGAUUUGAUUUCAGAAUGCACGGAACUAUCAUACAGAAGGUGGACAUGGGAAACGAUUUGAUUUCAGAAUGCACGGAACUAUCAUACAGAAGGUGGACAUGGGAAACGAUUUGAUUUCAGAAUGCUAAAAAAUAUGUCUAUAGUUUAAUAUCGGAUGCCCGCUAAAAAUAAGGGCAUUUUGACGUCGGAU
Molecule: long non-coding RNA, 771 nt
Filed under: Amborella trichopoda
Lineage: Eukaryota; Viridiplantae; Streptophyta; Magnoliopsida; Amborellales; Amborellaceae
Description: long non-coding RNA (ATRI_LNC000656)
Source: RNAcentral